UACGGAGGAUCCGAGCGUUAUCCGGAUUUAUUGGGUUUAAAGGGUGCGCAGGCGGAAUAUUAAGUCGGCGGUGAAAGUUUGCAGCUUAACUGUAAAAUUGCCGUUGAUACUGGUAUUCUUGAGUGUAUAUGAAGUAGGCGGAAUUUGUAGUGUAGCGGUGAAAUGCAUAGAUAUUACAAGGAACUCCGAUUGCGAAGGCAGCUUACUAAAUUACAACUGACGCUCAGGCACGAAGGCGUGGGGAUCAAACAGGAUUAGAUACCCGUGUAGUCCCU
This 275-nucleotide ribosomal RNA is filed under the name uncultured prokaryote. RNAcentral's name for it is "partial 16S ribosomal RNA". It matches the Rfam family "Bacterial small subunit ribosomal RNA", at positions 524 to 798 of the family's 1533-position model. The record is from RNAcentral.